CCUACGGGUGGCAGCAGUAGGGAAUUUUCGUCAAUGGGCGCAAGCCUGAACGAGCAAUGCCGCGUGAACGAGGAAGGUCUUCUGAUCGUAAAGUUCUGUUGAUGGGGAAAAAGAGCGGAGAGAGGAAAUGGUCUCCUAUUGAUCUUACCCUUCGAGGAAGUCACGGCUAACUACGUGCCAGCAGCCGCGGUAAUACGUAGGUGGCGAGCGUUAUCCGGAUUGAUUGGGCGUAAGGGGUGCGUAGGGGGUCUGCUAAGUCUGGAGUGAAAGGUACCGGCUCAACCGGUACAGGCUCUGGAAACUGGCGGGCUAGAGAGCAGGAGAGGGCGGUGGAACUCCAUGUGUAGCGGUAAAAUGCGUAGAUAUAUGGAAGAACACCAGUGGCGAAGGCGGCCGACUGGACUGUUACUGACGCUGAGGCACGAAAGCGUGGGGAGCAAAUAGGAUUAGAUACCCGAGUAGUC
RNAcentral lists this ribosomal RNA (464 nucleotides) under uncultured bacterium. RNAcentral's name for it is "partial 16S ribosomal RNA". It matches the Rfam family "Bacterial small subunit ribosomal RNA", at positions 338 to 795 of the family's 1533-position model. The record is from RNAcentral.